CAGAGAACAGUGGACACACAGUUUAACAUGAUGGACUAUAGGACAGGACUGCUGCUGUUAACUAUCUGCUGGGCAGGUGUUGAUGGUCAGACUCUGACAGAAUCUGAACCAGUGGUUAAAAGGCCUGGAGAAUCUCACAGAUUGACCUGUACAGCCUCUGGAUUCACAUUCAGCAGCUACCAUAUGAACUGGGUCAGACAGAAACCAGGGAAAGGACUGGAAUGGAUCGGACGCAUUGAUAGCGGAACUGGCACAAUAUUUGCCCAAAGUCUCCAAGGCCAGUUUUCCAUCACCAAAGACACCUCCAAAAACCUUGUGUCCUUAGAGGUGAGGAGUCUGAAACAAGAAGACUCUGCAGUUUAUUAUUGUGCACGAGAGCCACAGUGA
This is a non-coding RNA of Dicentrarchus labrax (European seabass), 387 nucleotides long. Lineage: Eukaryota; Metazoa; Chordata; Actinopteri; Moronidae. The record is from the annotation of a RefSeq genome assembly.